This is a long non-coding RNA of Macrobrachium nipponense, 379 nucleotides long. RefSeq lists it as uncharacterized. The record is from RefSeq and is a predicted model, not a curated record. The transcript is spliced from 2 exons. Lineage: Eukaryota; Metazoa; Arthropoda; Malacostraca; Decapoda; Palaemonidae.
UCCCACCGUUCCACGGGCCACGGUUUGUAGUCCGUAGGACUUAUGACUUUGUUUGUAGUUCGUCGAAGUAAUCUUUUGAUUUUUUAAAAUUUGUUGUUGGAGAACCGAACCGAGGUCUAGUAAAUACUUGAAUAGUUGGCAUUAAUUAGCAGAGCUUCAAUUGUAACUCUCUGCUUUUGCUGCAAUAAUUUUCCAAGGAGAGUGAUAAAAUAUGCAAAUGAUAUGUGGGAGCCCAAGGUUACUGGCAGGGUUCUGUUCCUGGGGGCUUGACAGUAACCGAAAAUCGCCGCUAACAGUAAUGAAAAAGUCUGGUUAACGAUGCCUUAGACAGUGUCACGGCCAGAUAUUUUGCCCUAAUAUAUAAUAACUCUAAUGAAAA